UAGCUACCACUUCUACGGAGGGCAGCAGGCGCGCAAAUUGCCCAAUGUCAAAAAAAAACGAUGAGGCAGCAAAAAGAAAUAGAGCCGACAGUGCUUCAUGCAUUGUCGUUUUCAAUGGGGGAUAUUUAAACCCAUCCAAAAUCG
This 144-nucleotide ribosomal RNA is filed under the name Trypanosoma cyclops. RNAcentral's name for it is "partial small subunit ribosomal RNA". It matches the Rfam family "Eukaryotic small subunit ribosomal RNA", at positions 404 to 546 of the family's 1831-position model. The record is from RNAcentral. Lineage: Eukaryota; Euglenozoa; Kinetoplastea; Trypanosomatida; Trypanosomatidae.